GACUGACCGACGAAAUUAAAAAAACUCUUGGCUUGGGUCAGCUCCUCUGCUUUUGUUUCCGUCGUCUUCUUUCUUUCUUCUCAGAUCCAAUAACCCUAAAUCUAAAAGCCUUCACCGUUGUCAAUUGAGAUUUUCCAAUUAAUGGACAUGUGUGUCUGUUAAUUGGAAAGCGCCUGUGAAGGAAAGCGUCUGAAAUUUAUGCAUUUUACUUCAGUCGGCAGUCGCUACUCAGGGGCAAAUUCGUGCGGCUUGUUGAGUAAGAGAGACCACCUUCAGUGGCAGCUGGUGAAUUAGUUCAGUUGAGGGCCUUGAGGCAAAGACACACAGUUUCUGGUUUGAGGACAGUGGAAGGUACCAAUUCACAAUCCACACCAGCAAAUGAAGGAUCGGCAUCAAAGUCAACUUGUUACCUUAUUUGGAUGGCUAUUUGUUAAGGAUUAAUCAUGUAUGGGAUUUCUAUUUUAUAAAUUUUGUGAAUUUGGAUGAAUUUGGUGAAUUGUUUGAUGAAUUGGAUAUAAAUUUAGAUGAUUGGGUUCUUUGGUUAUAUUUUGUAAAUUUGAU
Long non-coding RNA from Coffea arabica (coffee), 561 nucleotides. RefSeq lists it as uncharacterized. Lineage: Eukaryota; Viridiplantae; Streptophyta; Magnoliopsida; Gentianales; Rubiaceae. The record is from RefSeq and is a predicted model, not a curated record.